UGUUGUGGAAAAUGGUGAAGUUAUAGCAUUGCUGGAUAUCACAAAAUGCCUUUUUGAUGCUAUAUCAAGGAUGGAGAAGGCUGCAGAACAGGGAAGUGCAAUUGCUGCAGCUGUUGAAGGAGUUGAACGACAGUGGGGGAACAACUUCUCGGCUCCAUCUGCAUUUAUAGAAACCCUGCGGGAGCUGAUAUUCAAGCCCUCUUUGUCAGCCAUUGUUUCUGAAAAUACCAAGGUAGCAAUAGUAUGCCCCUCAGAUCCUGUGUAUGUUGCUGCUAAGAAGAUGCGAGAAUUACGGGUCAACUCAGCUUUAAUUACUGUUGGAAACAAAAUUCAAGGGAUAUUAACCUCAAAAGAUAUUCUUAUGCGUGUUGUAGCACAAAAUCUAUCCCCUGAGCUGACACUGGUGGAAAAGGUAAUGACCUCAAACCCUGAAUGCGCAACACUAGAGACAACGAUA
Molecule: unclassified non-coding RNA, 457 nt
Filed under: Hevea brasiliensis (rubber tree)
Lineage: Eukaryota; Viridiplantae; Streptophyta; Magnoliopsida; Malpighiales; Euphorbiaceae
Source: RNAcentral